CGAACGAGAAGGCCCAUUGAAGUUUAUUGAAGUUGGAGUGCUUGCACAAAGAUGGAUUUAAAUGGAUUUGGAUUCCCUUCUAGUGGCAGACGGGUGAGUAACACGUGGGUAAUCUACCUCAGGGACUGGGAUAACGUUGGAAACGAACGAUAAUACCGGAUGAUUCAUAUUUAGAUAACUAGAUAUGCUAAAAGGAGCUUCGGCUUCACCUUGAGAUGAGCUUGCGGUGUAUUAGCUAGUUGGUGAGGUAAUGGCUCACCAAGGCAACGAUGCAUAUCCGCGCUGAGAGGCUGAUCGGACACAUUGGGACUGAGACACGGCCCAGACUCCUACGGGAGACAGCAGUUAGGAAUAUUCGUCAAUGGGGGAAACCCUGAACGAGCAAUGCCGCGUGAGUGAAUGAAGGUCUUAUAGAUUGUAAAACUCUGUUACAAAGGAAGAACACUUAUUAUAGGUAAUGAUGAUAAGUUGACGGUACUUUGCCAGAAAGCCCCGGCUAACUACGUGCCAGCCGCCGC
This 518-nucleotide ribosomal RNA is filed under the name uncultured bacterium. RNAcentral's name for it is "bacterial SSU rRNA". It matches the Rfam family "Bacterial small subunit ribosomal RNA", at positions 63 to 518 of the family's 1533-position model. The record is from RNAcentral.